Molecule: ribosomal RNA, 228 nt
Filed under: uncultured bacterium
Lineage: Bacteria
Description: partial 16S ribosomal RNA
Rfam family: Bacterial small subunit ribosomal RNA
Source: RNAcentral
UGCGUAGGCGGGCUAAUAAGUCAGUGGUGAAAUCUUUCGGCUCAACCGAGAAACUGCCAUUGAUACUGUUAGUCUUGAGUUCGGUUGAGGUAGGCGGAAUGUGUAAUGUAGCGGUGAAAUGCUUAGAUAUUACACAGAACACCAAUUGCGUAGGCAGCUUACUAGACCGACACUGACGCUGAGGCACGAAAGCGUGGGGAGCGAACAGGAUUAGAUACCCUGUAGUCC